Molecule: ribosomal RNA, 501 nt
Filed under: uncultured bacterium
Lineage: Bacteria
Description: partial 16S ribosomal RNA
Rfam family: Bacterial small subunit ribosomal RNA
Source: RNAcentral
AUUGAACGCUGGCGGCAUGCCUUACACAUGCAAGUCGAACGGCAGCACGGGUGCUUGCACCUGGUGGCGAGUGGCGAACGGGUGAGUAAUACAUCGGAACGUACCUUAUCGUGGGGGAUAACGCAGCGAAAGCUGUGCUAAUACCGCAUACGCCCUGAGGGGGAAAGCGGGGGAUCGCAAGACCUCGCGCGAUUAGAGCGGCCGAUGCCUGAUUAGCUAGUUGGUGGGGUAAAAGCCCACCAAGGCGACGAUCAGUAGCUGGUCUGAGAGGACGAUCAGCCACACUGGGACUGAGACACGGACCAGACUCCUACGGGAGGCAGCAGUGGGGAAUUUUGGACAAUGUGGGCAACCCUGUUCCAGCAAUGCCGCGUGAGUGAAGAAGGCCUUCGGGUUGUAAAGCUCUUUUGUCAGGGAAGAAACACCGGCUCUAACACAGUCCGGGAAUGACGGUACCUGAAGAAUAAGCACCGGCUAACUACGUGCCAGCCGCCGCAGUAA